UACGGAGGAUGCGAGCGUUAUCCGGAUUUAUUGGGUUUAAAGGGUGCGUAGGCGGUCUGUUAAGUCAGCGGUAAAAUUGCGGGGCUCAACCCCGUCGAGCCGUUGAAACUGGCAGACUUGAGUUGGCGAGAAGUACGCGGAAUGCGCGGUGUAGCGGUGAAAUGCAUAGAUAUCGCGCAGAACUCCGAUCGCGAAGGCAGCGUACCGGCGCCACACUGACGCUGAGGCACGAAAGCGUGGGGAUCGAACAGG
RNAcentral lists this ribosomal RNA (252 nucleotides) under uncultured bacterium. Its description in RNAcentral is "partial 16S ribosomal RNA". It matches the Rfam family "Bacterial small subunit ribosomal RNA", at positions 524 to 776 of the family's 1533-position model. The record is from RNAcentral.